CACUUUCAACAAUGGAUCUCUUGGCUCUCGCCUCGAUGAAGAACGCAGCAGAACCCCAUAUGUAUGUUGAUUGCAGAAUUUCAGUUGAUCAUCGAAUUUUUUACGCCCCCUGCGGUCCUCGGUAGUCCGAAAAACAAGCCUGUUUUAGUGGCAG
Molecule: ribosomal RNA, 154 nt
Filed under: Rhizopogon melanogastroides
Lineage: Eukaryota; Fungi; Basidiomycota; Agaricomycetes; Boletales; Rhizopogonaceae
Description: 5.8S ribosomal RNA
Rfam family: 5.8S ribosomal RNA
About the family: 5.8S ribosomal RNA (5.8S rRNA) is a component of the large subunit of the eukaryotic ribosome. It is transcribed by RNA polymerase I as part of the 45S precursor that also contains 18S and 28S rRNA. Functionally, it is thought that 5.8S rRNA may be involved in ribosome translocation.
Source: RNAcentral